AGAUGAGGUACAAGAUGACACUGACCCUGAGGAAUGCCCGGAAAUGGAAUGGUUGGAAGAUGGAUGAUGGGGGUUGGGCGUGGUCCACACACAGACAUGCAGAGGGAAUGGAUGCCACGGUGACAGAGGCAGCAUCUCCCUUCUCUAGUAGAGUGUGGGUGUGGGCUGGAAAUGAGUUAGGACUUGAUUGCAUCCUGUAAGGCUACUCCUCUGCAUUCACCAAUGUGGAGCAUAAGACACUCGUGGCUCUUCGAGCCUGUGUAUCUGCUCUGCUCAUCCCACAAACACAGUAGUGACCGAGUUCAGAGCACCAGAAAUGUGUGAGGAGGCUGCAGUGGGCAGGGAAGCCGGAGAGUGGAGUUUGUGCAAAAAAACAACAAAACACCUAAGCAGGAUUUUCUGAGGGAGCUGAUAGGAGUGUUGAAACGAGAGACUUAAAAAGGUUUCCUUGCAGACCAGGAGAAAAACCCAACAACUGAAAGUUGAAAGCAGGCAGUAACAAACAUGGUUGUCCUUGCCCCUUGUCCCUGCGGGUCCUACUCAUGGCCCCAAGACAUAAGGAAACAGGCAUGCCCAGCAUGGAGAGAUGUGAUGUAAGUGCCAUUGACGGUUGUUAAGAGAGUUUAAUGCGUUUGAGUUUGGCAUAGACCUUGACUUUCUGCUUGCCCUCAGGUGACAACACAGGCAGUUUAUCAUUCUCAGACAUCAAGCUUGUUCUACUCAACCCCUCAGAAGUCAAGUUGAGUGCCGCAGAAGAAGUGGCUUUGCUUUUUAGCCCAUCUUGGCAAUUGUCUGGAAGAGUCAGAUGACAGCAUGAGGCUGGGCAGAGUUCCAGGGGUCAGUUGGGCAAAGCACUGGUGCCAGUGGUUGGAAGGAUGCCUAGCUUCUGCUGACCAUAGUUCUUCCUGGAUGACAACUGGGAAGACAGCCACCCCCUGUUCCAACAGUGAAGGAGAGUCCUCCUGAGGACAUCUAUUCAUCUGCACUGAACACAAUUUCCACGUGACUUCCAAGUACUUUAGACCAAGCAAGCCACCAUUCUUAACUACUGAUAUGAAAUGCAUCCAAACUCACAUAUCGGCAAGGCUGCAGAAGAUUCUCCUAGAUGGCUCAAUGCCUGUGCCGUCUUCAUCGUGUGUGUGUGUGUGUGUGUGUGUGUGUGUGUGUGUGUGUGUGUGUGUGUGUAUGUACACACGUGCCUUCUCCACCUCACCCAUACCUCUACUCAAUGAUUUCCUGUGCCUUUCCCUAGCCACGCCCACCAAACCUUUCCUAUCCCUAAACUAAUGACAGCAUUUAGCUUUUUUUUUUUUUUUUGGUUUCUGUGUUUCACACUAACCAUUCCAAGUGCUGCUGGCCCUCAAAAUCUGUCAUUCUUUUAAGUGGAGACAUAGGUAAGGUGUUGUGAAAGUGGUAGGAGAAAGAAUUAUAAAAUCCCGUCCCAGGAGUGACAGCAGACGAGAGCAAACACCCCCUUAACAAGGACCCCACACUGGUGAUAUUGGCCUCAGUCAAUUUGUGUAGGCACACAGCUCAUGGGCUUCUCCCCUCUUCAAGGUCUUCACACCGUCCCAUUGGGAAGUAACACAGACUGGUGGACCCAUCCAAACCCAGAAGUGGGGAUGAGGAGAAACAGAAAUGUUAAUCACAUUGUUAAUGAGAAUGUAAAUUGAUGUCGUCCACCAUAGGAAAAAAGACUUGUCAGUUAUUAAAAAUUCAAACACAGAAUGAGCCAUAUAAACAACCCAGCAUUUCCACACCUGGGGAUGUUCCCAGGAGAACUGACGACAGGCACUCAAGGACUUACCUGUGAGUGUUUAUAAUAGCAUCCAUUAUAAGAGGCGAAUAGGAAACAACCCAAGAUAUGACUGAAUGUAUGAAAUGUGCUUUGACUCACAAGGGAUUGUUAAAUCUGAAAAGGAACGAAGCGUAAGUACACACUACCACAUGGAUGAACCUUGAAAACAUGCCAGUAAGGUACACUUCAUCCACUUUUACAAGUCUCAGCAGCUCUGCACAGACAGAAGGUAGACGAAUGAUCGCAAGACAGUAGGAGAAAUAGGAAGGGAAGAGACUACGGAGACAAUGGCUUCUCUUAGAAGCGCUGGGAGUGUUCUAGAACCAGACAGAGACAAGAACAGAACAGGACAUCCUAGGACAGUUCGUGAACUACAUUCAGAGAGUAGGAGAAAUGUGAGCAAGACCAGGCGGAGAAGCUGAGUGACGAGAGCAUGAUGAGCAAGGCCAGUCGGAGAAGCCGAGUGCCGAGAGCAUGAUGGGAUAAGUUGGUCCUAGUGCAUGAGCCUCCCAACUCACAGACCGAGAGCAUGAUGGGAUAAGUUGGUCCUAGCGCAUGAGCUUCCUAACCCACAGAGGCUGCAUCCUGAAAAAAGAGCAGAUCACCGAAGAGAAAGGUCAGGGCAGAGAGAACAUCUUGUCUUGUGCAUCAGAAUUCAGAGGGCUAGAUCAACGUUAGAACAGCCAAGAGCAUCAAAGGGAACAAUGGGGAGAAGACUCUGCUACGUCAGCCCCUGGGUCUGUCGUAUCCUUGGACUUUAAGAGGACUCAUCCAUUCAAUCCUCUCUGAUGCACAGGUGGGAGUAGUGACCUGCUCCCUGACUACAUAAAGCUAUAUAUAUGUAUCCUCAGUUACUUAAGACUGAUAUAGAUUUACGUCUCUGAGACCGGUAGGUUCUUCAAGCUUCUUCCCUGCCGCAAAGAGAAUCCAUCAAGAAUGAUGACAGCAGCCGGGGCAAGCAAAGGGUGUGAACUCUUGGGAAUCUCGGAGACAACCUUGGCAGGACAGACAAGGAAAUCAAGAGCUUCAGGUCACUCUGUGACUUGAGAGGCAGAACCAAGGACAUGAGAUGUCUGGUCUGGAGCUCUCCAACAUUGUCUGAGAUGGCAGGAGUCCACCACACUCAGCUUUCUGGAUGUGAGCUACAGUAAGGAUGAACUAUACCAAACUUAGGUAAUGUUUGCUUUUAACAGUGCCUUAAUGAUAUAGCUGAAAGCAGUGGGUUCUCACCUUCAUGAUUACAAAGCACUGACCAAGCACUACCCAAGAAUAAGAGUGGAAAAAGAUUGGCCGGAGACUUCCUUUCAGGGUGAUACCCUCAUCCAGCAAAGGAUGAACGAGAAUCCCUGAAAAGAAGUUGAGCCUGUAAAGACUGGCUUGUGCUGCAGCCGUGUGGAGCUUUGGAAGGUCUCAGGGUCAGAGCCUAAUGACCUUAGAUCAGGUUCGUUUUACGGCACUAAAUGUACAUCCCUGGCUCACCUCUGUGUCCGAACUUGCAUCUUGGAGCCAGGCAGUGUGGUGCAAGCCUUUAAUCCCAGCAGGCAGAGGCAGGUGGAUCUCUGCGUGUGAGGCCAGCCUGGUCUAGUUAGUUCCAAGAUAGCUCAGGCUUACAAAAACAAACAAACAAACAAAAACCCAAACAAACAGAAAAAUACAAGACAACAACAAAACCCAAACCUUUUGAGAUCUAGUGACUUUGCUUCACCAACCAAAAAAACCUAAGAAUGUAUCAGAUAGCAUCUGAAGCCUAUAGACAGAUUUUCCCGUCUUGCUGUAACCACAUCUGUGAAGCAACCAUCAAUGUAUUUAUAAGCUGCCUUGGUUGGUGGCUUUCUUUGUUCUGAUAGUAAAACACUCUAUGAAACCACUAGCAUAGGGGGAACGUGGGACUUUGGGUAAUCUAGCUCUGUGUUUCCCAGGCUACGAUUACUCAAAUUUGGCUUCAGAAUCAACUAUUUCCUUUGUCACGAGAGCUGUUUGUUCUUGUGUUGAAAGAAGCAUCAGGGGGC
This 3807-nucleotide small RNA is filed under the name Rattus norvegicus (Norway rat). RNAcentral's name for it is "uncharacterized LOC102551934". Lineage: Eukaryota; Metazoa; Chordata; Mammalia; Rodentia; Muridae. The record is from RNAcentral.